UUCCUUUGAUUUUGGGGAAGAUAUAAAGCGAGCAGCACUUUUAAUACAUGCUAGGAAGACAGAUGCAUGCGUAAUAAGAGACGUGCAAAUGCUCCAUACAGGUGAGUAAUGCUUUGGAAUCAAUCAAUAUGCACGAAUUGUAAAUUCGUAAUAUCAACCUUCGGUUUCUAUCCUGGUUAAUUGAUGAGCCAGAGUCGUAUUAGGUGAAGAAAGAUUUUUUAAUCAUAAUUUUCUUACCGAAGAUGCGUAGCUGAAAAGCCACACUUCCACUGAAACAAGGGGGAGACUCGGUAUAGAGGCAGCAGUAGAGAAUCUUGUGCAAUGUAUGAAAGUAUGACACAGAGAUGUUGCAAAAGAAGACCGUCCAAUAUACGUGCCAGCAGACGCGGUUAUACGUAAGGUCUAAGUUUUUAUCAGAAAAGGCGUAAAGGGUGUGUUGGCUAAAGUUUAUUUAAUAUAAGGAGUUUUAGGGGGUAAAUGGAAUUUUUAUGUAGCGGUAGAAUGCUUUUAUAUAAAUUAGAACACCGUAGGCGAAAGCGGUUUACCACUAAAAACUGACGCGGAAACACGAAAGUAAGGGGAGCAAAUAGGAUUAGAUACCCUAGUAGUCCUUACUGUAAAUUAUGAAUAUAAGAUCACUUAAAAUAGGUUAAGUAAUAUUACUUUAAUUUGUGUGUGGUCGACAAAAACUUAAGAUAGUUCUGCCUGAAGAGUACGAUCGCAAGAUUAAAAUUCAAAAAAUUUGGCGGUUCACUAAUCCAAUUAGAGGAGCGUGUGGUUUAAUUCGAUAGUCCGCGAUUAACCUUACCAAAAUUAGAAGCAAGCAGGGGUUAAGGAUUAAACGAAUAAAAUCGUAAUAUAAACCUUAGGUUUGUAUUUAACCUAACCGGGCUUGAAUUCAGGUAUUGCAUGGCCGUCGUCAGUUUGUGUUGUGAAAGUAAUAGAACGAACUUAACCCUUAAUCAAAAUUAUUAUUCAGUCAUUUUUGGUUAAAGGAUGACGUCAGGUCCUUAUGAUCCAUAUGUUUUGGGCUAUACAUGCGCUACAAUUUUAUACACAAAAAGAUUUUAAACCUUUUAAAGUAAAAGUUCGGAAAACUCUUUGAAAUAAGGAGUAUGAAGUUGGAUUUAAUAGUAAUCAGAAAGUAGAGGGUUCUGGUGAAUAUGGCUCUAGUGUUCGUACAAAUCGCCCGUCAUCUCUACCAAGUAAAGAAUCUUAAAGUGUUAAGUUAAAAUUAAUAGAAAAAAAAUCAAAUAUGAAAAGAUUGUUACAUAAUACUUUAAUUUGUAAUUUAGCAUCAUGGAGGGUUUAUAAGGUUGAGGAAGUCGUAACACAGCGGGGGUAUUGGAAAAUGUCCCCAGAUUAAU
RNAcentral lists this ribosomal RNA (1367 nucleotides) under Hymeniacidon sinapium. Its description in RNAcentral is "12S ribosomal RNA". It matches the Rfam family "Bacterial small subunit ribosomal RNA". The record is from RNAcentral. Lineage: Eukaryota; Metazoa; Porifera; Demospongiae; Suberitida; Halichondriidae.